Nicotiana tabacum (common tobacco) is the source of this 1229-nucleotide long non-coding RNA. RefSeq lists it as uncharacterized. Lineage: Eukaryota; Viridiplantae; Streptophyta; Magnoliopsida; Solanales; Solanaceae. The record is from RefSeq and is a predicted model, not a curated record.
UUUUUAGCCCAAUGUUAAGGCCCAAAUCUGAAGCCCAAACACCUUACCCAUGCCCAAUUCCCCAUCAGGUUUUCUUUUUGGAAUUAAAAAACCCUAAACCUUCUUCUUCUUCUUCUCCCGGAACCAAAAAAUACACACAAGACACAAACUCUAGAACACCCCAAGAGAGCAACGCCAACCGAACAGACCCCUCCACCUCAUCUUCAACUCCCCGUCGUUGCACCCCACUGUAGCUUUCUAAAGCAACAUCGCCCACCACCCCAUUUAACCAAAAACUCACCGGAAUCUCCUCCCCACCCAGCAGCGGAACCCAACAGCCCAUUCCAGCCGCUGCUUCUCCAUCUCCUCACAUCAAACGACCACCCAACACCAUCAUCUCCAGCCCCAGCUCGUCAGAAAACAAGCUGCAAUAUCCACCGCCCAAAAUCCGUCCUCUCUUCACCCCAUCCAGCUGCUGUUUCACCAAAAGCCAGCAGCAGCAGCUCGCCGGAAUCCAAACACCACCCUUCAACUCCACCCAUCUUCAUCUCCCUCACGCCAGACACACGCACACACGCACCAACAACAGACGAAAAAAAUCUAGACAGAAUUUCUAAGGGACUUGCCGAGUUUGAUUGUUGCUAUGGAGUUCGAUUAAAGUGAGGAGGUUGUUUGAAGCUGGUUCGUAGUUCCGGCCAUUAUCGAGGUUUCCGGUCGCGUGUCCAAUUGCUCAUUUAAAGAUUUGCUGAUGAUUCAUUGUUGGGUGCUCUUUCAUUAAUCAGACUUUGAGAGAUUACAUCAUAAACCAUGUCCGAGCAACAGUUGAGAACCCGAGAAGCCUCUUGAAGUUCAUCGUUUCCUGUAAUACAAGCAAUGCAGCUAAGUAUACAUGCUACCUGCUGGAGGCAAAACAUGAACCCCUACAACCAAAGCCAAUGCAGAUUAGCUGAGGUAGUAAAAAAACAAGAAGAUAACUAGAUAAAUCACUAGCAAAGCUGAAGAGAGAAGUUGAAUUUACGAUUAUGCAAUUAUCGCAUUUUGUCGUCUGCAGAUUGAACUCAUCUUGCAACAUAAAGCGCGUUGAGGCAACUGAAUUUGCGAAGCAAAGAAACACCUGAACAGUAGAGAAUGAUUAAGUAAUUAAGUAGGACAGCUGAAGAAAAAGCUCAUAAAGCCCGUUUGACUUAGCUCCAAGUGCUGAAACUUAUUUUAUAAAUAAGCUGUUAUAUGACAUGAAUUUUGAGAUUGAA